UCGGGAAUUUUGGGCAAUGGGCGCAAGCCUGAUCCAGCAAUGCCGCGUGCAGGAUGAAGGCCUUCGGGUUGUAAACUGCUUUUUCGUACGGAACGAAACGGCGAACUCUAAUAAAGUUUGCUAAUGACGGUACCGUAAGAAUAAGCACCGGCUAACUACGUGCCAGCAGCCGCGGUAAUACGUAGGGUGCAAGCGUUAAUCGGAAUUACUGGGCGUAAAGCGUGCGCAGGCGGUUAUAUAAGACAGAUGUGAAAUCCCCGGGCUCAACCUGGGACCUGCAUUUGUGACUGUAUAGCUAGAGUACGGUAGAGGGGGAUGGAAUUCCGCGUGUAGCAGUGAAAUGCGUAGAUAUGCGGAGGAACACCGAUGGCGAAGGCAAUCCCCUGGACCUGUACUGACGCUCAUGCACGAAAGCGUGGGGAGCAAACAGGAUUAGAUACCCACGUAGUCCCUGAGCGGGCUGGCAAGGCGCAU
Molecule: ribosomal RNA, 474 nt
Filed under: uncultured bacterium
Lineage: Bacteria
Description: bacterial SSU rRNA
Rfam family: Bacterial small subunit ribosomal RNA
Source: RNAcentral